Molecule: ribosomal RNA, 1911 nt
Filed under: Triticum aestivum (bread wheat)
Lineage: Eukaryota; Viridiplantae; Streptophyta; Magnoliopsida; Poales; Poaceae
Description: partial small subunit ribosomal RNA
Source: RNAcentral
CGGGUUUGGUAGAGUUUGCUACAACCUGUUCGAAGAGGAGUUAACCACGAUGAGGUUGAGAUAGAGCAUAUAGUAGUAAGGCCUGGUGCGUGUGUGUAGUUUUUACUUUUUAGGGGGCCUUUAUAAUGCAUUUACUAUUUAAGUCCCCUCCCCUCCUCUUAAGCGGGUACCGGAAGAAUUUCCUCUGCUGCAACCACACUUCCUACGACUAUCCCUUUGGCGGACGGCCUUAACUUGACGAGUCACUUAGAGGUUUUAACGUCUCGGGCAGCCUCUCCUAGCUCUUCCUGCUAUCGGACGACGGCAGGUUGGGUGUACUCCACCUCCGAGACGCGUUGCUAAGCCGAGCCUUCUUGGGAGACUAUCGUAAGUGCAAGCUCCUCGAGUUCUCCUACUGGUUCUUGAAGUCCGUCCUGAGCCACGAUCCCCCUCCACCGAAACCGGCCCAGAUGUUUCCCACGCAGUGGUCACUAGAAGCGCUUCCCGAUUGCUAGGUCCUCGGCGACGCUCAACGCCAGUUCCAGGUACUACCUCUGUUGUCGAAGGUUCCGGUGUCCCUCACCGACCGACUCCAGUAAAAGGAACCCGUCGAGAGUGUGGGUUUAGAGCACUUCAACCAGCCAAUAACAACGCUUCUGUUAGUGGCCCAAGAGCAAAUGCUCAACUACGGGGAUCCCUCACAGCUUAGCGUAGACAAAAGCUCCCAUUACGACGGUGACGGUACCAGGUGGUCUUACUUCUAGCGUGAGCCACGCCGUUCCCCCGAACGUAAGGACGUGCUUCGACUCUUCGGUCAGUAAAUGUCCCUAAAGUUUUGUAGGUUGUAUAACGAGCUACUCCUCAUGUUGCGCUUCGAGAGACUGAAGCCCGACCGCUUCCUGCCCGGCCAGCCCCUGUUUAGUGUGCAGAGCUGGGCGUAGUACCCGUGGAUGCCGAUGCGGCGGGGUCUCAUGUAGUACUGUCCCGUGGACUGCCGCUACUCGCUGCACAUGUCGAUGCCCCACCACGACGACCUCGACGACUGCCCCGCGUUCAGCGACCUGUCCAGUUCUGGCCACUCCCUCGUCUGCGACUGCCUGACCCGGAAGGGCGACGACCGCGUGUCCUUCUUCCACGACCCGUAGCAGCUGGGGUCCGAGUGGCGGCUGCUGAUGGGGCACUUCCGGCACGUGUUCUGCCGGUACGAGCGGAUGGUGACGGAGUCGGCGUUGGGGUUCCGGUCCGGCGAGUACGCGCUGUAGCAGCGGUGGGAGCUCGGGGACGUCGUCGUCGUCGUCGGCGUCGGCCUCGACCACCACCUCCACUCGGGCCGGUUGCCGAGGCCACCGUUACUGCCGCACCCACAAGCAACUAGUCUGUAUACAUACGACUGCACAUGCAAGAAAAGACGUAUAUCACUACGAACACGCUUAACAUAAAAUCGUCGACGAUGUAUCGAUGACUGUCACAAGAGAACCAGCCGUGUGUUACGAUUCCCAGAAAGAGAGAGAGAGAGAGAGACGAAGGGUACUUAAGAAGGCCUUAAAGUGUUGAACGUCCUAGCUCUCUGAGAACGCCUAGUUUUACCCGGAGUUCUGAAGUCUCUGUCUCUCUAUACUACGUAAUGUCCUAAAAUAUAGAAAUAUACAUACGUCAAGAGGACGUACAAAGCUUUUUUCUUUUCUCAAGAGAAUUCAUGAGGAAGCCAAGUGUUUAUAUCAAAAACCUAUGAAAUUAUACCUGAUGUAUGCGUGACUUUACCUACUUGUUUGUAUCGUUUCGUAUAGAUACAUGUAGUCUAAGUUUUUUUUAAUCUUGUUGAAUAUAAACACUUGCCUCGCUCAUUGAUCCUACGCCCAAAAAACCUAAUUUUCAGAGUGUGGUACAACGUAAAAGUGACUUUUUCUUUGUGCCUCAUUGUUCGUAGCAGUC